RNAcentral lists this unclassified non-coding RNA (195 nucleotides) under rhizosphere metagenome. RNAcentral describes it as "partial ribosomal RNA internal transcribed spacer region". The record is from RNAcentral.
GUAGGUGAACCUGCGGAAGGAUCAUUACUGAGAGUACUGGGCUCUGCCUAGCUACUUUUACCCAUGUUUUUUAAGCACCAAAGUUUCCUCGGCGGCCUCGCCCGCCGGUUGGACUCAAUCAAACCCUUUGUAGUUGCAGUCAGCGUCAGUAAAACUUAAUAAUUAAAACUUUCAACAACGGAUCUCUUGGUUCUG